RNAcentral lists this unclassified non-coding RNA (369 nucleotides) under Hevea brasiliensis (rubber tree). Lineage: Eukaryota; Viridiplantae; Streptophyta; Magnoliopsida; Malpighiales; Euphorbiaceae. The record is from RNAcentral.
AUUUUUUUUUUCUGUUGCUGGAUACUACAGGUACACAAAAGGAUACAAUUCUGGAAUUUUUCACCCGAACUUUAUAAUUUUCCGAUGACGUGCCUAAAAAGUAAUUUCAUGCAAUCAAGGACUUCAACAAUGAAAUAUUAUACUAUUAACACCUUUUAGUCACCAAAAGAAUUACUGAAGUUGGCAUCUGACUUCUCUUUUUAUGCCUGAUAUCAGUGAUGUGGCACUGGCAUCGGAGUCAACAAUUACUAUACAAAUUAAACUUGGAUCAUUAUUUUUAAUUUUUCCAUUCAUUUGGUCAUAUUAAUUUUUUUAUGGGUCCCACAUGAUAAUAUUCAUCGGUUGGUGCAUUAGAUGGGUUCAAUUGGU